This 52-nucleotide ribosomal RNA is filed under the name Rhexinema sarcinoideum. Its description in RNAcentral is "partial large subunit (26S) ribosomal RNA". The record is from RNAcentral. Lineage: Eukaryota; Viridiplantae; Chlorophyta; Ulvophyceae; Ulotrichales; Helicodictyaceae.
UCGACCUGAGAUCAGGCAAGGCUACCCGCUGAACUUAAGCAUAUCAAUAAGC